UUAAUUGAAGCCAAAAAGAGGCUUUCCAUUGUUAAUGGGAUCAUUGAUUAAUAUCCAAUUAAA
Molecule: transfer RNA, 63 nt
Filed under: Leptocorisa lepida
Lineage: Eukaryota; Metazoa; Arthropoda; Insecta; Hemiptera; Alydidae
Description: tRNA-Asn
Source: RNAcentral